CAAGGAUUCCCCUAGUAACGGCGAGUGAAGCGGGAAGAGCUCAAAUUUGAAAUCUGGCGGUCUACGGCCGUCCGAGUUGUAAUCUAGAGAGGUGUUUUCCGUGCCGGACCGUGUACAAGUCCCUUGGAACAGGGCGUCAUAGAGGGUGAGAAUCCCGUCCAUGACACGGACUACCGGUGCUCUGUGAUACACCUUCGAAGAGUCGAGUUGUUUGGGAAUGCAGCUCAAAAUGGGUGGUAAAUUCCAUCUAAAGCUAAAUACAGGCGAGAGACCGAUAGCGAACAAGUACCGUGAGGGAAAGAUGAAAAGAACUUUGGAAAGAGAGUUAAACAGUACGUGAAAUUGUUGAAAGGGAAACGCUUGAAGUCAGUCGCGUCUGUCAGGACUCAGCCUUGCUUCUGCAUGGUGCAUUUCCUGGUGGAUGGGCCAGCAUCGAUUUUGGUCGCCGGAAAAGGGCGGGAGGAAUGUGGCAGCUUGCUGUGUUAUAGCCUCCUGUCGUACACGGUGGUUGGGAUCGAGGACUGCAGCACGCCUUUGGUCGGGGUUCGCCCACGCCACGUGCUUAGGAUGCUGGCGUAAUGGCUUUAAGCGACCCGUCUUGAAACACGGACCAAGGAGUCUAACAUGCCUGCGAGUGUUUGGGCGUUAAACCCAGGCGCGUAAUGAAAGUGAAAAGUUGGGACUCUUUAGUGAGGCACCGACGCCCGAUCCUGACGUUCUCUGACGGAUUUGAGGUAGAGCAUGUAUGUUGGGACCCGAAAGAUGGUGAACUAUGCCUGAAUAGGGUGAAGCCAGAGGAAACUCUGGUGGAGGCUCGUAGCGAUUCUGACGUGCAAAUCGAUCGUCAAAUUUGGGUAUAGGGGCGAAAGACUAAUCGAACCAUCUAGUAGCUGGUUCCUGC
This 901-nucleotide ribosomal RNA is filed under the name Heteroradulum deglubens. RNAcentral describes it as "eukaryotic LSU rRNA". It matches the Rfam family "Eukaryotic large subunit ribosomal RNA", at positions 69 to 961 of the family's 3401-position model. The record is from RNAcentral. Lineage: Eukaryota; Fungi; Basidiomycota; Agaricomycetes; Auriculariales; Auriculariaceae.